Molecule: ribosomal RNA, 815 nt
Filed under: Mycobacterium sp.
Lineage: Bacteria; Bacillati; Actinomycetota; Actinomycetes; Mycobacteriales; Mycobacteriaceae
Description: bacterial SSU rRNA
Rfam family: Bacterial small subunit ribosomal RNA
Source: RNAcentral
UGAGUAACACGUGGGUGAUCUGCCCUGCACUUUGGGAUAAGCCUGGGAAACUGGGUCUAAUACCGAAUACACCCUGCUGGUCGCAUGGCCUGGUGGGGGAAAGCUUUUGCGGUGUGGGAUGGGCCCGCGGCCUAUCAGCUUGUUGGUGGGGUGAUGGCCUACCAAGGCGACGACGGGUAGCCGGCCUGAGAGGGUGUCCGGCCACACUGGGACUGAGAUACGGCCCAGACUCCUACGGGAGGCAGCAGUGGGGAAUAUUGCACAAUGGGCGCAAGCCUGAUGCAGCGACGCCGCGUGGGGGAUGACGGCCUUCGGGUUGUAAACCCCUUUCAGUAUCGACGAAGCCGUGAGGUGACGGUAGGUACAGAAGAAGCACCGGCCAACUACGUGCCAGCAGCCGCGGUAAUACGUAGGGUGCGAGCGUUGUCCGGAAUUACUGGGCGUAAAGAGCUCGUAGGUGGUUUGUCGCGUUGUUCGUGAAAACUCACAGCUUAACUGUGGGCGUGCGGGCGAUACGGGCAGACUGGAGUACUGCAGGGGAGACUGGAAUUCCUGGUGUAGCGGUGGAAUGCGCAGAUAUCAGGAGGAACACCGGUGGCGAAGGCGGGUCUCUGGGCAGUAACUGACGCUGAGGAGCGAAAGCGUGGGGAGCGAACAGGAUUAGAUACCCUGGUAGUCCACGCCGUAAACGGUGGGUACUAGGUGUGGGUUUCCUUCCUUGGGAUCCGUGCCGUAGCUAACGCAUUAAGUACCCCGCCUGGGGAGUACGGCCGCAAGGCUAAAACUCAAAAGGAAUUGACGGGGGGCCCGCACAA